RNAcentral lists this ribosomal RNA (405 nucleotides) under uncultured prokaryote. RNAcentral describes it as "bacterial SSU rRNA". It matches the Rfam family "Bacterial small subunit ribosomal RNA", at positions 355 to 774 of the family's 1533-position model. The record is from RNAcentral.
UGGGGAAUAUUGGGCAAUGGGCGAAAGCCUGACCCAGCAACGCCGCGUGAAGGAAGAAGGUUUUCGGAUUGUAAACUUCUGUCCUCAGGGAAGAAAAAAAUGACGGUACCUGAGGAGGAAGCCCCGGCUAACUACGUGCCAGCAGCCGCGGUAAUACGUAGGGGGCGAGCGUUGUCCGGAAUGACUGGGCGUAAAGGGCGCGUAGACGGUUGUCUAAGUCUGGAGUGAAAGUCCUGCUUUCAAGGUGGGAAUUGCUUUGGAGACUGAAUGACUUGAGUGCGGAAGAGGUAAGUGGAAUUCCCAGUGUAGCGGUGAAAUGCGUAGAGAUUGGGAAGAACACCAGUGGCGAAGGCGACUUACUGGGCCGUAACUGACGUUGAUGCGCGAAAGCGUGGGGAGCGAACA